ACUGAAGCCCAACAGUUCCCAGAAUUCUGACACGGAGGCAUGUGCCUAUGAGAUCUUCUUUUCAGGCCUCCAUCCUUCCUGGCCCACCUUCAGUACUGAGGAAUUACAGCAGAAAACAUGAAGAAUUGGUGCUUGCUGACUUGCCUGGGAUUGUAAGUUGUAUCCUGGUACUCUGAGCCUCAUGGAUUUGGGAAGGGAAAUUCUCCCUCAAUGGAACGACUUCCAUCCAAGACUGUUCUGCUCUUCAUCUCCAGAAAGAAGCAAAGGACCUCAAAUCUCAGCAUGUACACCAGUAGGAUCAGGCUGAACAGUUUCAAGCAUUGUGUUUCAGUCCUCAGAGCCACCAUACAAGGCCUCUGUGGAAGACUCCAUUAGCUGACAGAGGACCUGGAAUGGCUGCCACCUGAAGGCCAGGGCUGCCCCUCCAGUGUCUCUGAAGCUUGAGGCAGAACAGGAACACUUGGCCACAGCUGGUUCAGGUCUGUGUUUUGGAUGAGCCCUGAGACCUGGAUGAACAGAGGUCUCUAGAAUUCUGGUGAAGGUGACCACAAACACUUAGACUUGAGGAGAAUAAUAGAUCUUUGGGAUGAACAUCUUUCUUUUUUAUUUAUGUUUGCAACGUGCAUACUUUAUGUCAAUAACAAAGGCACCCUAGUUU
This 658-nucleotide long non-coding RNA is filed under the name Mus musculus (house mouse). RNAcentral's name for it is "predicted gene, 26655". Lineage: Eukaryota; Metazoa; Chordata; Mammalia; Rodentia; Muridae. The record is from RNAcentral.